Molecule: ribosomal RNA, 465 nt
Filed under: Vreelandella stevensii
Lineage: Bacteria; Pseudomonadati; Pseudomonadota; Gammaproteobacteria; Oceanospirillales; Halomonadaceae
Description: partial 16S ribosomal RNA
Rfam family: Bacterial small subunit ribosomal RNA
Source: RNAcentral
CCUACGGGAGGCUGCAGUGGGGAAUAUUGGACAAUGGGCGAAAGCCCGAUCCAGCCAUGCCGCGUGUGUGAAGAAGGCCUUCGGGUUGUAAAGCACUUUCAGUGGGGAAGAAAGCCUUGGGGCUAAUACCCUCGAGGAAGGACAUCACCCACAGAAGAAGCACCGGCUAACUCCGUGCCAGCAGCCGCGGUAAUACGGAGGGUGCGAGCGUUAAUCGGAAUUACUGGGCGUAAAGCGCGCGUAGGCGGUCUGAUAAGCCGGUUGUGAAAGCCCCGGGCUCAACCUGGGAACGGCAUCCGGAACUGUCAGGCUAGAGUGCAGGAGAGGAAGGUAGAAUUCCCGGUGUAGCGGUGAAAUGCGUAGAGAUCGGGAGGAAUACCAGUGGCGAAGGCGGCCUUCUGGACUGACACUGACGCUGAGGUGCGAAAGCGUGGGUAGCAAACAGGAUUAGAUACCCCGGUAGUC